RNAcentral lists this ribosomal RNA (253 nucleotides) under uncultured bacterium. RNAcentral describes it as "partial 16S ribosomal RNA". It matches the Rfam family "Bacterial small subunit ribosomal RNA", at positions 524 to 776 of the family's 1533-position model. The record is from RNAcentral.
GACGUAGGGCGCGAGCGUUGUCCGGAUUUAUUGGGCGUAAAGAGCUCGUAGGCGGCUUGUUGCGUCGACUGUGAAAACCUGAGGCUCAACCUCAGGCCUGCAGUCGAUACGGGCGGACUUGAGUACUGCAGGGGAGACUGGAAUUCCUGGUGUAGCGGUGAAAUGCGCAGAUAUCAGGAGGAACACCGGUGGCGAAGGCGGGUCUCUGGGCAGUAACUGACGCUGAGGAGCGAAAGCGUGGGGAGCGAACAGG